GUCUAUAGCCAUGCUACCCUGAACAAGCCAGAUCCCGUCUGAUCUCAGAAGCUAAGCAGGGUAGGGAGACCACCUAGGAAGACCAGGUGCUGUAGGCA
Molecule: ribosomal RNA, 98 nt
Filed under: Pteropus alecto (black flying fox)
Lineage: Eukaryota; Metazoa; Chordata; Mammalia; Chiroptera; Pteropodidae
Also listed under: 1 other name
Source: RNAcentral